This 349-nucleotide long non-coding RNA is filed under the name Nicotiana benthamiana. Its description in RNAcentral is "long non-coding RNA (NBEN_LNC037648)". The record is from RNAcentral. Lineage: Eukaryota; Viridiplantae; Streptophyta; Magnoliopsida; Solanales; Solanaceae.
CGACAAAAACCAGAGAUGAGUGCAGUGAAAGUGAAAGUAUUAGGUGAGAUUCCUUUGCCUGUCAUCUCGUGGUAAAGCCUAAAGGCCUUGUGCACUUCUCUUUCCUUGCAGUAUCCAUCUAUCAAUGAUGUAUAGGUCACAACAGUAGGGGUCAAUCCUUUAUCAAUCAUUUCAUUUAAGAUAGAUUCUGCAGCACUACACUCGUAUAGGUUACAACAGUUGGGGUCAAUCCUUUAUCAAUCAUCUCAUUUAAGAUAAAUUCUGCAGCACUACACUUUCCAGCCUUGCAAUGGCCAUUAAUGAGGGAAUUGUAAGGGUAUACGGUUAGCUCUGCCUCAUUAUCAAGCAU